Molecule: ribosomal RNA, 677 nt
Filed under: Salmonella enterica subsp. enterica
Lineage: Bacteria; Pseudomonadati; Pseudomonadota; Gammaproteobacteria; Enterobacterales; Enterobacteriaceae
Description: partial 23S ribosomal RNA
Rfam family: Bacterial large subunit ribosomal RNA
Source: RNAcentral
CCGAGUCUUAAUUGGGCGUUAAGUUGCAGGGUAUAGACCCGAAACCCGGUGAUCUAGCCAUGGGCAGGUUGAAGGUUGGGUAACACUAACUGGAGGACCGAACCGACUAAUGUUGAAAAAUUAGCGGAUGACCUGUGGCUGGGGGUGAAAGGCCAAUCAAACCGGGAGAUAGCUGGUUCUCCCCGAAAGCUAUUUAGGUAGCGCCUCGUGAAUUCAUCUCCGGGGGUAGAGCACUGUUUCGGCUAGGGGGCCAUCCCGGCUUACCAACCCGAUGCAAACUGCGAAUACCGGAGAAUGUUAUCACGGGAGACACACGGCGGGUGCUAACGUCCGUCGUGAAGAGGGAAACAACCCAGACCGCCAGCUAAGGUCCCAAAGUCAUGGUUAAGUGGGAAACGAUGUGGGAAGGCCCAGACAGCCAGGAUGUUGGCUUAGAAGCAGCCAUCAUUUAAAGAAAGCGUAAUAGCUCACUGGUCGAGUCGGCCUGCGCGGAAGAUGUAACGGGGCUAAACCAUGCACCGAAGCUGCGGCAGCGAACGUAUCACUUAAAGCGAUUCAGCGGGUUACGAUUGACGGAGCGAAGCGACGUCAAAGCGUAUACAAAGUCGAGUCGGUUUAAGGAUACGUUCGUUGGGUAGGGGAGCGUUCUGUAAGCCCGUGAAGGUGGCCUGUGAGGG